This 403-nucleotide ribosomal RNA is filed under the name Verrucomicrobiota bacterium. Its description in RNAcentral is "Verrucomicrobia bacterium partial 16S ribosomal RNA". It matches the Rfam family "Bacterial small subunit ribosomal RNA", at positions 355 to 776 of the family's 1533-position model. The record is from RNAcentral. Lineage: Bacteria; Pseudomonadati; Verrucomicrobiota.
UGGGGAAUCUUGCACAAUGGGCGCAAGCCUGAUGCAGCAACGCCGCGUGAACGAUGAAGGUCUUCGGAUCGUAAAGUUCUGUUGCUGGGGAAGAUAAUGACGGUACCCUGUGAGGAAGCCCCGGCUAACUACGUGCCAGCAGCCGCGGUAAUACGUAGGGGGCUAGCGUUAUCCGGAUUUACUGGGCGUAAAGGGUGCGUAGGUGGUCUUUCAAGUCGGUGGUUAAAGGCUACGGCUCAACCGUAGUUAGCCUCCGAAACUGGAAGACUUGAGUGCAGGAGAGGAAAGUGGAAUUCCCAGUGUAGCGGUGAAAUGCGUAGAUAUUGGGAGGAACACCAGUAGCGAGGGCGGCUUUCUGGACUGAAACUGACACUGAGGCACGAGAGCGUGGGUAGCAAACAGG